CCAAGGAAGGGCUGGAUGCGUUCCGCAGGUGUGGAGAGGAGCGGAGAAACGCUGCCAUUGGGGUGUUUAACAUCACAUGAUUCCAGGACUUUGAAAUCAUCCUCAGUUUAACACUGGGAUGUCGAACAUGCAAUUUUCAAUGGACACCAAAGAGGAAUGCAGGCCAUAGCUGAGCCACUGGAAAAUCAGUCUGAACUGUUCUCUGGGGGGAAGGAGUCAUCCAGCUUCCAGCCAAAGCAAAGUGGACUAUCUGUCUUUGAACUUCAACCCCUGGCAAAGACUCAUCCAAGUCCACUGGCAAGAUAAAAGUCAAGAUGACGGUAAUGGCCCAGGAUGUAAUGGAUAACCUUGACUACUUCUUUGAUGUCUUGACUGGGAUCUAAGCACUUCACAGCACCUGCUUCAGCCACCUCCAACACUAGGCUGUUACAACAAAUUGUUCUCAGCUGCCCAUUCCACCAGGCGAAGUCUCUACGUGCCUUAAGUAGGCACCCCCUAUUUCACCAAUGGGUUUGAAGUUUGUCAGUUAACCUCGACCUGGCUCAGCCCAACUGUUGAGAUGGUUUUACCAAGGUCUGGCCCCUGGGCAUACUACAAUUUCUUAGAGUCACAGGUGAGAGUUGAGUGAGAAAUGGACACCGAAGGUGGAUGAGUAACCCUGAAAAGGGCUCAGCAAGCCCUCCAACCAGAAGUGUUAGUCUUCCCUGAACAUGUCAUCAUCAGGAUUUCUCUUGAUCCCUCAAGGGAGGGCCAUUGAGCAGGAGAUGGCUGGGAUGAUAUAAGAUUUCUAAAAUGUAUUAUAAAUCUUUAGGUGCAUUUAAAUAUUAUCUGUCAUUAUCAUCAUUAUCAUUCUUCCCAAUUUUUUAAAAGAUACUCUGAGAAUACCUUCCAUAGUUGGAUUAAAAAAAAAAACUGGUUGUUUAAGAA
Monodelphis domestica (gray short-tailed opossum) is the source of this 927-nucleotide long non-coding RNA. RefSeq lists it as uncharacterized. Lineage: Eukaryota; Metazoa; Chordata; Mammalia; Didelphimorphia; Didelphidae. The record is from RefSeq and is a predicted model, not a curated record.